Molecule: long non-coding RNA, 459 nt
Filed under: Carica papaya (papaya)
Lineage: Eukaryota; Viridiplantae; Streptophyta; Magnoliopsida; Brassicales; Caricaceae
Description: long non-coding RNA (CPAP_LNC003751)
Source: RNAcentral
AUAACUAAUUACGGAUUACUAAUGGCGCCCAAACCGGACAUUGUUCUCUGUCAAUGUAUUACCAGAUGCAUGUUUAUUUGUUUGUGUGAUUAUGUUUGCUUUAGUAAUGGAGACUAAAGGAAAACAUGAAAGGGGUGUGAUUAAAUAAACAGAUAGAAUGGCAGCCUUACUAGAUAUUCUGGGAGAUGAUGGACGGACCGUGUAUAUGGGGAAUCCUACCGUGAACGUUGUCUCAUACCGGACAGGGUAUUGAGACUUGGUAAUUUGGUGCUCAUACCGGACGGGAUAUGGGGACGACCCCCUUCACCCUCAUACUGGAUGGGGUAUUGAGGUUUAAUGUCUUGGCACUCAUACUGGACGGGGUAUGAGAACGGCCCUGUAAUUGAGAUUGUUAAAAGAAAGGGUUCACAUGUAGCGGGAACAUCCCUAUGAACCCCCAUGGAUACUAGUAGGCUGGUG